This 409-nucleotide ribosomal RNA is filed under the name uncultured bacterium. RNAcentral describes it as "bacterial SSU rRNA". It matches the Rfam family "Bacterial small subunit ribosomal RNA", at positions 29 to 419 of the family's 1533-position model. The record is from RNAcentral.
AACGAACGCUGGCGGCGUGCCUAACACAUGCAAGUCGAGCGGGAAAGUUCCCUUCGGGGAGCGAGUACAGCGGCGAACGGGUGAGUAACACGUAGGUAACCUACCCUGGAGAUCGGGAUAACCUGCCGAAAGGCGGGCUAAUACCGGAUAAGACCACGAGGGCUGCGGCCCUUGAGGAAAAAGAUGGCCUCUGCUUGCAAGCUAUCACUCUGGGAUGGGCCUGCGCGCCAUUAGCUAGUUGGUGAGGUAACGGCUCACCAAGGCUGAGAUGGCUAGCUGGUCUGAGAGGAUGGCCAGCCACACUGGGACUGAGACACGGCCCAGACUCCUACGGGAGGCAGCAGUGGGGAAUAUUGCGCAAUGGGCGAAAGCCUGACGCAGCGACGCCGCGUGGGUGAUGAAGGCCUUC